UUCUUAGUAAUCUGUUCUUGCAAAGCACACAAUUACUUUAAUGGUGAUAAAGUAUUCAAUAGACAGAAACUAGAAAGUGUACUUCAAAAAUACAUGAAACCAAUUAAAAAACUAUCAGAACAGUUUCCAAAUCGCGAGAUCGAACUGCAAUUUGAAAUAGAUGGCAACAAAGGUCAGAUUGUAGCGUCGCCUAAGACAAAAUAUGUUCGAGUACCUGCUGCUU
Molecule: long non-coding RNA, 223 nt
Organism: Papilio machaon (common yellow swallowtail)
Lineage: Eukaryota; Metazoa; Arthropoda; Insecta; Lepidoptera; Papilionidae
Exons: 3
Source: RefSeq, a predicted model, not a curated record